CCUACGGGGGGCUGCAGUAAGGAAUAUUGGACAAUGGCCGCAAGGCUGAUCCAGCCAUCCAGCGUGCAGGAAGAAGGCCCUAUGGGUUGUAAACUGCUUUUAUCAGGGAAUAAACCUCUGGAUUCACUCCGGAGCUGAAGGUACCUGAAGAAUAAGCACCGGCUAACUCCGUGCCAGCAGCCGCGGUAAUACGGAGGGUGCGAGCGUUAUCCGGAAUUACUGGGUUUAAAGGGUGCGUAGGCGGCUUUGUAAGUCAGGAGUGAAAGUUUGCGGCUCAACCGUAAAAUUGCUUCUGAUACUGCAUGGCUAGAAUUAGGAUGAGGUCAGCGGAAUGUGGCAUGUAGCGGUGAAAUGCAUAGAUAUGCCAUAGAACACCAAUUGCGAAGGCAGCUGGCUAGACCUGGAUUGACGCUGAGGCACGAAAGCGUGGGGAGCGAACAGGAUUAGAUACCCGUGUAGUC
Molecule: ribosomal RNA, 461 nt
Filed under: uncultured Saprospiraceae bacterium
Lineage: Bacteria; Pseudomonadati; Bacteroidota; Saprospiria; Saprospirales; Saprospiraceae
Description: bacterial SSU rRNA
Rfam family: Bacterial small subunit ribosomal RNA
Source: RNAcentral